This 468-nucleotide ribosomal RNA is filed under the name uncultured bacterium. Its description in RNAcentral is "partial 16S ribosomal RNA". It matches the Rfam family "Bacterial small subunit ribosomal RNA", at positions 28 to 507 of the family's 1533-position model. The record is from RNAcentral.
GACGAACGCUGGCGGCGUGCUUAACACAUGCAAGUCGAACGGAAAGGCCCUGCUUUUGUGGGGUGCUCGAGUGGCGAACGGGUGAGUAACACGUGAGUAACCUGCCCUUGACUUUGGGAUAACUUCAGGAAACUGGGGCUAAUACCGGAUAGGAGCUCCUGCUGCAUGGUGGGGGGUGGAAAGUUUCGGCGGUUGGGGAUGGACUCGCGGCUUAUCAGCUUGUUGGUGGGGUAGUGGCUUACCAAGGCUUUGACGGGUAGCCGGCCUGAGAGGGUGACCGGCCACAUUGGGACUGAGAUACGGCACAGACUCCUACGGGAGGCAGCAGUGGGGAAUAUUGCACAAGGGGCGGAAGCCUGAUGCAGCAACGCCGCGUGCGGGAUGACGGCCUUCGGGUUGUAAACCGCUUUCGCCUGUGACGAAGCGUGAGUGACGGUAAUGGGUAAAGAAGCACCGGCUAACUACGUG